GAAACGUUAGCUCAAUGGAAGAGCUUUGACUUAUCUGAACAGAGGCUGCGGGUUCGAAUCCCGCACGUUUCUCCU
This 75-nucleotide transfer RNA is filed under the name Chryseobacterium angstadtii. Its description in RNAcentral is "tRNA-OTHER". It matches the Rfam family "tRNA". Rfam says of the family: Transfer RNA (tRNA) molecules are approximately 80 nucleotides in length. Their secondary structure includes four short double-helical elements and three loops (D, anti-codon, and T loops). The record is from RNAcentral. Lineage: Bacteria; Pseudomonadati; Bacteroidota; Flavobacteriia; Flavobacteriales; Weeksellaceae.